Molecule: ribosomal RNA, 508 nt
Filed under: Parachauliodes continentalis
Lineage: Eukaryota; Metazoa; Arthropoda; Insecta; Megaloptera; Corydalidae
Description: partial large subunit ribosomal RNA
Rfam family: Bacterial large subunit ribosomal RNA (bases 387-508)
Source: RNAcentral
GUCUUUUUGAUUAUAAUUUAAAGUCUAACCUGCCCACUGAAUAUUUUGAAGGGCCGCGGUAUUUUGACUGUGCAAAGGUAGCAUAAUCAUUAGUCUUUUAAUUGGAGGCUUGUAUGAAUGGUUGGAUGAGGUAUUAACUGUCUCAAUUUAAUAAAUAAUAGAAUUUUAUUUUUAAGUUAAAAAGCUUAAAUUUUAUUAAAAGACGAGAAGACCCUAUAGAUCUUUAUAAUUAAUUUUAUAAUAAUUUUUUAGAUUAAAUUUAUUUUUAUAAGAUAAAUUAUUAUAUUGGGGUGAUAAAAAAAUUUAUAAAACUUUUUUUAUAUUAAAACAAUGAUAUUUGAUUAAUUGAUCUAUUUUUUGUGAUUAUAAGAUUAAGUUACCUUAGGGAUAACAGCGUAAUUUUUUUGGAGAGUUCAUAUCGAUAAAAAAGAUUGCGACCUCGAUGUUGAAUUAAAGGUUAAUUUUAGGUGUAGAAGUUUAAAAUUUUGGUCUGUUCGACCAUUAAAUC